This 497-nucleotide ribosomal RNA is filed under the name uncultured bacterium. RNAcentral describes it as "partial 16S ribosomal RNA". It matches the Rfam family "Bacterial small subunit ribosomal RNA", at positions 28 to 507 of the family's 1533-position model. The record is from RNAcentral.
GAUGAACGCUGGCGGCGUGCCUAAUACAUGCAAGUCGAGCGAACAGACGAGGAGCUUGCUCCUCUGACGUUAGCGGCGGACGGGUGAGAAACACGUGGAUAACCUACCUAUAAGACUGGGAUAACUUCGGGAAACCGGAGCUAAUACCGGAUAAUCUAUUGAACCGCAUGGUUCAAUAGUGAAAGACGGUUUUGCUGUCACUUAUAGAUGGAUCCGCGCCGCAUUAGCUAGUUGGUAAGGUAAAGGCUUACCAAGGCAACGAUGCGUAGCCGACCUGAGAGGGUGAUCGGCCACACUGGAACUGAGACACGGUCCAGACUCCUACGGGAGGCAGCAGUAGGGAAUCUUCCGCAAUGGGCGAAAGCCUGACGGAGCAACGCCGCGUGAGUGAUGAAGGUCUUCGGAUCGUAAAACUCUGUUAUUAGGGAAGAACAAAUGUGUAAGUAACUAUGCACGUCUUGACGGUACCUAAUCAGAAAGCCACGGCUAACUACGUG